AAUAAAGUAUAAGCAUAAAUAACACAAGAUCUAACUAAUCAAUAUCAACUAGUAUUAUUUUGCUCUUAUUAAAAUCCAUCAAUAGAAUAAUAAAAUGCAACCACAUAACCGAUAUCACAAUUGUAUAUUAUUCAAAUUUCACAAUUUAUAAUUCACCAAAAUUCACAAAUGUAAUUCACCAAAAAUUUACAAAAAUUCAUAUUUCACAACUGUAAAUCAACAAUUUCAUACCAAAAAUAAAAAUUCAUACAGCUCGCAAGUUCAUAAACUCGCAAUUCAUAAAUCAUAGGUUUCGAAAUUAACAACUGAAAUUAGAUGAAAAAGAAUAAAAAAAAUUGAUAAGAAAGUAAGAAAAAAAAAACUAAGAAAGUGGCUCACUGCAGUAGCCACAAGAUCAAUAGCCAGUAGCCACCCGUCGCCCACUAAUAAUUUCUUUUAUUACUUCUCCUCCUCUGCAACAACACCAGCCCCAUCUUUAUCAUCUUCAACCUCUCUCAAUCUGCUACAAUUCCAACCCCUUACUCAAUCCCUACAUUCAUUCUCUCUUAUAUCUGGGCUUUUUUAUUCCCUUCAAUUAAUUUUUUUUGAAUACCGAUAAAAAAAAUUAAAAAGUAAAAUUGAAUAAAAAAAAUAUUUGUUUUCCAGUAUGAAAGCUUCUUAGAAAGAAACAGAAAAGUUGAUUGGGAUCAGAUGAGAAGCCCAUCUUCACCAAAACAGAAGUCUCUUCCCUAAGCUUCUUCCUCACCAAAAGAGUGAAAGACAGGAGACUAGAGAGAGACACGGAAGAGAUAACGUUAGGGUUUGGGUUUCAACUUUUUUUUUUUUUAAUUUUUUUUUUAAAAGUCAGGGGUAGCACGUGCUACCCCUUGUUACACUGUAGCUCCGCCCCUGAAUUUGUCCUAAUGUCCUAAUUUUGAAUCAGAUCUUACAUUUGAUGUAACUCAGUGAUACUAUAUAUGCUACUGCUGCUGCGCUGAAAAUUGCUUGGGUAGCACUCGUAGCAGGGUGUGAGGUUGGCAAUGGGUAUUCUUCGAUGUUAUAUUCCGGACUUCUGGCUAACAUGUGUUGCAUGUCUCCAUCCUCAUGAAGUCGAAUCUCAACCCCGCCCACUGCCUCUUCUCCUCGGAAUUCAUUAGCAGACGCGCCUUUGCUCCGGCGAAGAAAUCGGAUUUGAAGUCCCGUGGGGGUGUCCCAACCACCAGACACGCUCACACCGUACCAUCAUCAUCAUCCUUGUUAUUAGAAGAAUGCCCAGCCUCGCUCGCUGCUGUACUUGCAUGAGUGCAUCUACAUCCACCUAUAUGUCUUCUAACAAUAUGCUCGGUCGGUGAUUCGCGCCUACCACAUUACUUAUCUCGGCGUCCAGUUACUUGCUAUGAAGCACGGGUACUUCUUCAGGGUGUCGUUUCCCGUACCGGGGACGAUACGGGUACGGUACGGGGACGCCGGAAAUACGUCCCUGGCGCGUCUCUGAAAAAUGGGGACGGCGAGUCAUUUGGGGACGGUUGGGGUUUCUUGAUGGGGACGUUUCGGGGACGGUUGAAGCAAAUUUAGAGACGUCUUUUUGCUCUUCACUGAAAUUUCAGACGCAAUUGAAGAAGAGCACUAGUUUCGUGAUUGAGUUUGGUGAGGAGAGGAGAGAGAAAAAAUAGGUAGUAAGUUAGUACUCCUCUGUUGUAUCACGUGAUAUCUUAAAAGAAAAAAUAACUUGUUGCACUUGUGGUUGCGAGCUGUACAUGUCUAACUUUAUUUACUACAACGAACCUUCUCUGUUGACUUUUUCUUUUCUUUUUUAAUACUUCCUCCGUUUUUUUUAGAUGUUACACUUUCAAAAAUUGUGGUUCCCUAGGCAAAAAUUGGAGGAGUAAUUAGGAGAGAAUUAACAUGGGGUUUGAGGGAAGGGAGGAGAGACAAAAGAGGACCCCUUGGGUUCCCCACCACCACCCCCAACGUCCCAGAGAACUCCCACCACCACCCCACCACCCCACCACCCACCUGAAAUUCGAACCACCCACCCAGCCACCGAAACCCCACCCACCCGAAAACCCCACCCAGCCACCGAAAAGCCCACCCCACCCGCCGAAUUUCCUACCCACCCACCCGAAAACCCCACCCACCCACCCGAAAACCCCAACCACGCGCCGAAAACCCACCCCAGCCUCGCGAAACCCCACCUCUACCGCCGCAAAAUUCCACCCCAUCCUCGAAAAUCCCACCUCUACCGCCGAAAAUGGAGGCCGUGGUUUUGCGCGAAGAAAAUUGCGUGGUUUUCGGUAGGUGGGGGUGGGGAUUUCGGUGGUUGGGUGGUGAUUUCGGUAGGUGGGGAAGGUUUUCGUGGGUGGGGAUCUUGUUUUCAGGUGGGUGGGGUGGGGUUUUGGGUGGCUGGGAUUUUCGGGUGGGUGGGGAGCGAUUUCGGGUGGGUGGUGGGAAUUCGCCGGGCUUCUGUGGUGGUGGGUAAGGAGGCUACGAGGUGGGGGAAGGGAUGGGGCAGCUGAGGUGGUGUGGGAGGGUGGUGGAAGAGAAGGGAGGAGGUUUAAUUAAUUUUGGAUUAGUAUAUAAUAAGGUUAAAUUAAGUUAGUUUAAUUUUGAUUAAUCCUUAUAAGUAAGGGUAAGUGAGUAAUUUUACAGCAUAAAACUUUCCAAUUUAGGAAAUAAAAAAAAGUGUAACAUCUAUUUAGAAACAUGCAAUUUAAGGAAAGUGUAACAUCUAAAAAAAACGGAGGAAGUACUUUUUUUUUUCUUUGGCCUGUACUCUUAAAAGACACUUCUCUUCUUGAGAUUUUUAUUAUGUCAACUUUUCUUAUUCAUUAGAAGGAAAAUAUAAAUAUUAAAAACGUAAAGUAAUAUUUUUCUAGAUUUACUUUUACAAUUUGAGUCAUUAAAUAUAAAAUAAUUUUUACCAGAUUUAUUUUUUAUUUUAUUUUUGCCGAAUCCAUGCCGUACCCGUUUUUUGAAAUUUUAAUUUUAUCGUUUUCCGUAUCCGUUCUCGUAUCCGUAUCCGUUCUCGUAUCCGUUUUUGUGCUACCUAGGUUACUUGGUUCUUCUGCACUGUUACAUUAAUUGUAGCUAUUUCGAGCUCGUGUAAUCUGAUUAUUUAUGAUUGGAUAUCAUUGUUUCGCCGUCCUCUUUUGAGGAUUAGAAAAUGACUAGUUUUAAGCCCUCUACUUUGGGUAUGGUCCGACUAUGAGAAUUAAUUUUUCGUUUCUCUUAUUUUUACUUGAUUUUGGUAUGACUUUAUAACCUUUUCAUUUGAUGGUUCUAUAUUUUUUUUGUAUAACUUGAAUGUAUCCGUCUCUUUUGGAUUUAAUUUAUCGAUUUUGCUCAUCCUAGAGAUGUAUUUUGGGCUUCA
Long non-coding RNA from Beta vulgaris subsp. vulgaris (sugar beet), 3349 nucleotides. RefSeq lists it as uncharacterized. The transcript is spliced from 2 exons. The record is from RefSeq and is a predicted model, not a curated record. Lineage: Eukaryota; Viridiplantae; Streptophyta; Magnoliopsida; Caryophyllales; Amaranthaceae.